AUACGGAGGAUGCGAGCGUUAUCCGGAUUUAUUGGGUUUAAAGGGAGCGUAGGCGGGAGCUUAAGUCAGCGGUUAAAUGGUGCGGCUCAACCGUGCCCUGCCGUUGAAACUGGGUUUCUUGAGAGUGCAAGAGGCGGAUGGGAUUCAUGGUUGUGCGGUGGAAUGCUUAGAUAUCAUGAAGAACUCCGAUUGCGAAGGCAGUCCGCUGGGGCACGUCUGACGCUGAUGCUCGAAGGUGCGGGAAUCAAACAGGAUUAGAUACCCUGGUAGUCCGCACGGUAAACGAUGAUUACCCGCUGUCGGCGGUAGACAGUCGGCGGCCAAGCGAAAGCGAUAAGUAAUCCACCUGGGGAGUACGCCGGCAACGGUGAAACUCAAAUGAAUUGGCGGGG
Molecule: ribosomal RNA, 392 nt
Filed under: uncultured bacterium
Lineage: Bacteria
Description: partial 16S ribosomal RNA
Rfam family: Bacterial small subunit ribosomal RNA
Source: RNAcentral